This 222-nucleotide ribosomal RNA is filed under the name uncultured bacterium. RNAcentral describes it as "partial 16S ribosomal RNA". It matches the Rfam family "Bacterial small subunit ribosomal RNA", at positions 109 to 334 of the family's 1533-position model. The record is from RNAcentral.
AGUAAUGUAUGGGGAUCUGCCCGAUAGAGGGGGAUAACUACUGGAAACGGUGGCUAAUACCGCAUAAUGUCUACGGACCAAAGCAGGGGCUCUUCGGACCUUGCACUAUCGGAUGAACCCAUAUGGGAUUAGCUAGUAGGUGGGGUAAAGGCUCACCUAGGCGACGAUCUCUAGCUGGUCGGAGAGGAUGAUCAGCCACACUGGGACUGAGACACGGCCCAG